UCUUCAUUUCACGCACUCUCUCACCGGUCAGGGUGGCGAGAGAGCACGCCAAAUGAGGAGA
Molecule: microRNA precursor, 61 nt
Filed under: Pristionchus pacificus
Lineage: Eukaryota; Metazoa; Nematoda; Chromadorea; Rhabditida; Neodiplogasteridae
Description: mir-8364 microRNA precursor family
Rfam family: mir-8364 microRNA precursor family
Source: Rfam by way of RNAcentral